UACGUAGGGGGCGAGCGUUGUCCGGAUUUACUGGGCGUAAAGCGCGCGUAGGCGGAUCCUUAAGUUGGUGGUGAAAGUCCGAGGCUCAACCUCGGAACUGCCUCCAAAACUGGGGAUCUGGAGGUAUGGAGAGGGAAGUGGAAUUCCUGGUGUAGCGGUGAAAUGCGUAGAUAUCAGGAGGAACAUCUGUGGCGAAGGCGGCUUCCUGGCCAUAUCCUGACGCUGAGGUGCGAAAGCUAGGGGAGCGAACGGGAUUAGAUACCCCCGUA
This 269-nucleotide ribosomal RNA is filed under the name uncultured prokaryote. RNAcentral describes it as "partial 16S ribosomal RNA". It matches the Rfam family "Bacterial small subunit ribosomal RNA", at positions 524 to 792 of the family's 1533-position model. The record is from RNAcentral.